UGAGUAACCUGCCCUUCACUCUGGGAUAACUCCGGGAAACCGGGGCUAAUACUGGAUAUGACUCGAACAGGCAUCUGUUUCGGGUGGAAAGAUUUAUUGGUGGAGGAUGGACUCGCGGCCUAUCAGCUUGUUGGUGAGGUAAUGGCUCACCAAGGCGACGACGGGUAGCCGGCCUGAGAGGGCGAUCGGCCACACGUGGGACUGAGACACGGCCCAGACCUCCGUACGGGAGCA
This 234-nucleotide ribosomal RNA is filed under the name uncultured bacterium. RNAcentral describes it as "partial 16S ribosomal RNA". It matches the Rfam family "Bacterial small subunit ribosomal RNA", at positions 118 to 347 of the family's 1533-position model. The record is from RNAcentral.